This 590-nucleotide long non-coding RNA is filed under the name Aedes aegypti (yellow fever mosquito). Its description in RNAcentral is "lncRNA AAEL027172". The record is from RNAcentral. Lineage: Eukaryota; Metazoa; Arthropoda; Insecta; Diptera; Culicidae.
UCCCAGGAUAAGACCAUACACGCUAACUCAGAAGUACCCAUUUAAUGGGUUCCAUGUACCCAUUUUUAUGACCAGUACUGAGUUGUCAGAAAAAGGGUAUUUUUUAAAUGUCAUAAAAAGGGUACUUAAUCCCCUCAAUGAAGUUUCUAGUCGAUAACUAAUGAUGGGUACAUAAUACUCAUGCUGCUUUGAAGAGCAGCAGCGCCAUUUUCCAAUUGGCUGUGCGGUGGCGUUUGUUUUUGUAAAAUAAAUAUUUUUCUUUCCUGUAACUAUUUGUAAAUGGGCAAUAAUAUUAAACACAUCUCUCAAGAAGGAAUACUGCAUACAACAUUCGAAUAUGGCUGUGACGCAGACAAUUUUGGGAGCCGAUGUUCAAUGUGUGAGGUUGGAUGUGGAUAGGAAGAAUAUCAGGAAAGCGUCCUGUAAAAUAUUGGCUGUAUGGUCCAUUGAAUGAUCUCCAAUAAAGAACGUAAAGCAUUACACGAUCCUGAUAAAUAAUGAAUAUUGAUUGUUUCAUUUACAUUAGUUUGAGAUCGUUUUAAAUAAAUUUUGUGAAAAACUCAACAAUGCAGAGCGAAAUGAAUGAAAAA